AAGUCUUGAAGUCCUUCUUCCUGAAAAUCAGCAGGCUCAAACACCUCCAGCUCCAGCUUACGAAGGGGAGCAUUUAGAGAGUGACCUUGAGCCUGUUAGUCAGGAGAGACAGAGGAGGAGAAAGAGUAGCUUUGAGAAGCUUCCCUCUCUUUAUUUGUUUAACUGUAGAGGAAGCUCAGGUCAUGGUCAGAAAGUGGAGGUCCAGAUUACUGCAUCCAUCAGUGAGAGACAGGCUAAGGGUAGAUCAAACAACCAUUUGACAUUGUGCACUAAUUUUACUAGAGCUUUGUGCAUCAUGAACUCUACAUCAUUUUCAUCACAAUAUAGGAAAAAUCCAUAAUAUCACACACUUUAUCAAAAUUCCACUGAAGUUUGAUCAAAACCACAAUCAGAUUUUUAUUCCAGGAUGAAUGUUAUGGUUAAACACAGAUGAAAUCAAGCAGACAUCUUUUAUCAUUGGCCAAAAAAGAAAAACAUCCAGCACUAAUGCGGCUGAUAACCAUCUGCCCAUUGGUGCAUCUGAAGAACAUGAGAUGCCAAUGAGAAAGAAAAGGAGGACAGAGAGUUUUGAGAAGCUGUUGUCUCUCAAAUCCAUUAAAUGGAGCUGCGGUUCAGACCAGGCGAUGAUAUAUGAGAGACAAGUUGAUGAUCAUAUUUCUCUGCAGUCCAUUGCCUGGUCUGCAGAGGAUUCUCUUUCCAGUGAUCGUGAAGACCUUCCUCCUGUAGAUCAGCAGGUUCAAAGCCCUCCAGCUCCAGUACACCACAGUCCAGUCAGUCCAGCCUCAGCUCACAACAACAGAGUGGACUUGACAACUGAGGGU
Carassius carassius (crucian carp) is the source of this 821-nucleotide long non-coding RNA. RefSeq lists it as uncharacterized. The record is from RefSeq and is a predicted model, not a curated record. The transcript has 3 exons. Lineage: Eukaryota; Metazoa; Chordata; Actinopteri; Cypriniformes; Cyprinidae.